RNAcentral lists this transfer RNA (97 nucleotides) under Nostoc sp. FACHB-190. RNAcentral describes it as "tRNA-Leu". It matches the Rfam family "tRNA". From Rfam's summary of the family: Transfer RNA (tRNA) molecules are approximately 80 nucleotides in length. Their secondary structure includes four short double-helical elements and three loops (D, anti-codon, and T loops). Further hydrogen bonds mediate the characteristic L-shaped molecular structure. tRNAs have two regions of fundamental functional importance: the anti-codon, which is responsible for specific mRNA codon recognition, and the 3' end, to which the tRNAs corresponding amino acid is attached (by aminoacyl-tRNA synthetases). tRNAs cope with the degeneracy of the genetic code in two manners: having more than one tRNA (with a specific anti-codon) for a particular amino acid; and 'wobble' base-pairing, i.e. permitting non-standard base-pairing at the 3rd anti-codon position. The record is from RNAcentral. Lineage: Bacteria; Bacillati; Cyanobacteriota; Cyanophyceae; Nostocales; Nostocaceae.
GCCCUUGUGACGAAACUGGCAAACGUGCUGGUCUUAGAAACCAGAUUUUGUGUGUACCCUUCGGGAACGCUAACGCGAACGACUCCCACCAAGGGUA